GGGUGCAGCAAGUUGGUCGUGCCACUGGUAUGUACUAGCUUUACUUGAUUCCUCCUUCUUGCAGAACCGUAAUGCCAUUAAUUUGGUGUUGCGGGGAAACAGGACUGUUACUUUGAAAAAAUUAGAGUGUUUAAAGCAGGCUAACGCUUGAAUACAUUAGCAUGGAAUAAUGAAAUAGGACGUUCGAUCCUAUUUUGUUGGUUUCUAGGAUUGACGUAAUGAUUAAUAGGGAUAGUUGGGC
This 241-nucleotide ribosomal RNA is filed under the name uncultured Glomeromycotina. Its description in RNAcentral is "partial 18S ribosomal RNA". The stretch from base 29 to 241 matches the Rfam family "Eukaryotic small subunit ribosomal RNA", at positions 673 to 887 of the family's 1831-position model. The record is from RNAcentral. Lineage: Eukaryota; Fungi; Glomeromycota.